GAUGAAGAACGUAGCGAAAUGCGAUAAGUAAUGCGAAUUGCAGAAUCCGUGAGUCAUCGAAUCUUUGAACGCACAUUGCGCCCCUUGGUUAUUCCGAAGGGCAUGCCUGUUCGAGCGUCAUUUGUACCCUCAAGCUAUGCUUGGUGUUGGGUGUUUGUCCUCUCCUUUGCGAUUGGACUCGCCUUAAAGACAUUGGCAGCCAGUGUAUUGGUCUUGAAGCGCAGCACAUUUUGCGAUUCUUGCUGAUAAUCACUAGCGUCCAGUAAGCCUAUUUUAACACUUUUGACCUCGGAUCAGGUAGGGAUACCCGCUGAACUUAAGCAUAUCAAUAAGCGGAGGA
This 340-nucleotide unclassified non-coding RNA is filed under the name soil metagenome. RNAcentral describes it as "partial contains 5.8S ribosomal RNA, internal transcribed spacer 2, and large subunit ribosomal RNA". The stretch from base 1 to 120 matches the Rfam family "5.8S ribosomal RNA", at positions 35 to 154 of the family's 154-position model. The record is from RNAcentral.